AUUCAUUCUCUUUGAGGAUUAUAUAACUACAUGAUCUCAAUUCAAUUUUACUAUUCCCAAAAUUCCAACACUCCCUUCCACAUGUAUCUUCUUCAUAGAGUUUCAUGUCUCCAUCAUAGUUAUAACAUCCAGCUGCAUAUUUCCCUGGAAAAAUCUUGCUAAAACCAAAAAGGAAUCCAUGGUCUGUCUUCACCGCAAAAACAUGUUUAAAAAAUUCUGAAUUUUUUUCUUCAUAAUCCUGUUCAUCAACAUCUUUAAUACCAAAUUCAAUAUUAAUUGCUUCUUGGUCAUGAAAAAAUACUCCAAAAUCAUUCUCAAGAAGAUCCUCUGUUUCUUCCUCUAUCUUUUGCUG
This 352-nucleotide unclassified non-coding RNA is filed under the name Hevea brasiliensis (rubber tree). Lineage: Eukaryota; Viridiplantae; Streptophyta; Magnoliopsida; Malpighiales; Euphorbiaceae. The record is from RNAcentral.